GACGAACGCUGGCGGCGUGCUUAACACAUGCAAGUCGAGCGGUAAGGCCCUUUCGGGGGUACGACGAGCGGCGAACGGGUGAGUAACACGUGGGUGACCUGCCUUUAGCUCUGGGAUAAGCCUGGGAAACUGGGUCUAAUACCGGAUACGACUCCGCGGUGCAUGCUGUGGGGUGGAAAGCCUUGUGCGGCUGGAGAUGGGCCCG
RNAcentral lists this ribosomal RNA (205 nucleotides) under uncultured bacterium. RNAcentral describes it as "partial 16S ribosomal RNA". It matches the Rfam family "Bacterial small subunit ribosomal RNA", at positions 28 to 233 of the family's 1533-position model. The record is from RNAcentral.